UGGGGAAUAUUUCACAAUGGGCGCAAGCCUGAUGCAGCCACGCCGCGGGAACGAUGAAGGUCUUGGGAUCGUAAAGUUCUGUUGCAGGGGAAGAUAAUGACGGUACCCUGUGAGGAAGCCCCGGCUAACUACGUGCCAGCAGCCGCGGUAAUACGUAGGGGGCUAGCGUUAUCCGGAUUUACUGGGCGUAAAGGGUGCGUAGGUGGUCUUUCAAGUCGGUGGUUAAAGGCUACGGCUAAACCGUAGUUAGCCUCCGAAACUGGAAGACUUAAGGGCAGGAGAGGAAAGUGGAAUUCCCAGUGUGGCGGUGAAAUGCGUAGAUAUUGGGAGGAACACCAGUAGCGAAGGCGGCUUUCUGGACUGCAACUGACACUGAGGCACGAAAGCGUGGGUAGCAAACAGG
Molecule: ribosomal RNA, 403 nt
Filed under: Verrucomicrobiota bacterium
Lineage: Bacteria; Pseudomonadati; Verrucomicrobiota
Description: Verrucomicrobia bacterium partial 16S ribosomal RNA
Rfam family: Bacterial small subunit ribosomal RNA
Source: RNAcentral